This is a non-coding RNA of Phrynosoma platyrhinos (Desert horned lizard), 72 nucleotides long. The record is from the annotation of a GenBank genome assembly. Lineage: Eukaryota; Metazoa; Chordata; Lepidosauria; Squamata; Phrynosomatidae.
GCUAUUAUGGUGUAGUGGUUUGCAUGUUUGAUUGUGACUCUAAAGUUCAGGAUUCAAGUCCUUGCUUAGGCA